This 299-nucleotide ribosomal RNA is filed under the name uncultured bacterium. Its description in RNAcentral is "partial 16S ribosomal RNA". It matches the Rfam family "Bacterial small subunit ribosomal RNA", at positions 28 to 325 of the family's 1533-position model. The record is from RNAcentral.
GACGAACGCUGGCGGCGUGCUUAACACAUGCAAGUCGAGCGGUAAGGCCCUUUCGGGGGUACACGAGCGGCGAACGGGUGAGUAACACGUGGGUGACCUGCCCUCAGCUCUGGGAUAAGCCUGGGAAACCGGGUCUAAUACCGGAUAUGACUCCAUGACGCAUGUUGUGGGGUGGAAAGCCUUGUGCGGCUGAGGAUGGGCCCGCGGCCUAUCAGCUUGUUGGUGGGGUGAUGGCCUACCAAGGCGACGACGGGUAGCCGGCCUGAGGAGGGCCGACCGGCCACACGUGGGACUGAGAC